RNAcentral lists this small nucleolar RNA (204 nucleotides) under Solanum tuberosum (potato). Its description in RNAcentral is "snoRNA Plant_U3". The record is from RNAcentral. Lineage: Eukaryota; Viridiplantae; Streptophyta; Magnoliopsida; Solanales; Solanaceae.
ACGACCUUAAUUGGAGAAGAUAUGUUCUAUAGGCUCUUACCAUUGUAUCAUUGACUACUAAGAAGACAAGAAAUAAAGUAUGAUUAUGACCAUAUGACCAAAGCAUGAUUAAUAACUAUCCACGGCUCCUUGAGUUUUGGUGUUUUGGAUGAUCGUUCUUAGACAUGAUAUCCAACCUGAUAAGCCUGUUUGGAUUGACUUAUU